AUUGAACGCUGGCGGCAGGCCUAACACAUGCAAGUCGAGCGGCGCGGCGGACGGGUGAGUAUUGCCUAGGAUUCUGCCUGGUCCUGGGGGAUAACGUCCGGGAACGGGCGCUAAUACCGCAUCCUCUCAGAUGCGCCUUGGUCGGAUUAGCUAGUUGGUGGGGUAAAGGCCGACCAAGGCGACGAUCCGUAGCUGGUCUGAAAGGUUGAACACUCACACUGGAACGGAGACACGGUCCAGGCUACUACGGGAGUCAGCAGUGGGGAAUAUUGCACAAUGGGCGAAAGCCUGAUCCAGCCAUGCCGCGUGUGUGAAGAAGGUCGUCGGAUUGUAAAGCACUUUAAGGUGGGAGGCGUUACCAGCAGAAUAAGCACCGGCUAACUUCGUGCCAGCAGCCGCGGUAAUUC
This 407-nucleotide ribosomal RNA is filed under the name uncultured bacterium. RNAcentral's name for it is "partial 16S ribosomal RNA". It matches the Rfam family "Bacterial small subunit ribosomal RNA", at positions 30 to 526 of the family's 1533-position model. The record is from RNAcentral.